ACGUUUUUGUUGUUGUGACGUUUUUGUUGUUGGGAUAUUUUUGUUGUUGUGACAUUUUUGUUGUGACAUUUUUGUGGUUGUGCCAUUUUUGUUGAGUGACGUUUUUGUUGUUGUGACGUUUUUUGUUGUUGUGACAUUUUUGUUGUUGGGACAUUUUUGUUGUUGGGACGUUUUUGUUGGGAUAUUUUUGUUGUGGUGCCGUUUUUUGUUAUUGUUGGGACAUUUUUGUUGUUGGGACAUUUUUGUUGGGAUAUUUUUGUUGUUGUGCCGUUUUUUGUUACUGUUGGGACAUUUUUGUUGUUGGGACAUUUUUGUGGUUGUGUUAUUUCUGUUGAGUGACGUUUUUGUUGUUGUGACGUUUUUUGUUGUUGGGACAUUUUUGUUGUUGGGACAUUUUUGUUGGGAUAUUUUUGUUGUUGUGCUAUUUUUGUUGUUGUGCCAUUUUUGUUGUUGUGCUAUUUUUGUUGUGCCAUUUUUGUUGUUGUGCCAUUUUUGUUGUUGUGCUAUUUUUGUUGUGACGUUUUUGUUGUUGUGACGUUUUUGUUGUUGGGAUAUUUUUGUUGUUGUGACAUUUUUGUUGUGACAUUUUUGUGGUUGUGCCAUUUUUGUUGAGUGACGUUUUUGUUGUUGUGACGUUUUUUGUUGUUGUGACAUUUUUGUUGUUGGGACAUUUUUGUUGUUGGGACGUUUUUGUUGGGAUAUUUUUGUUGUGGUGCCGUUUUUUGUUAUUGUUGGGACAUUUUUGUUGUUGGGACAUUUUUGUUGGGAUAUUUUUGUUGUUGUGCCGUUUUUUGUUACUGUUGGGACAUUUUUGUUGUUGGGACAUUUUUGUGGUUGUGUCAUUUCUGUUGAGUGACGUUUUUGUUGUUGUGACGUUUUUUGUUGUUGGGACAUUUUUGUUGUUGGGACAUUUUUGUUGGGAUAUUUUUGUUGUUGUGCCGUUUUUUGUUAUUGUUGGGACAUUUUUUUUGUUGGGACAUUUUUGUGGUUGUGUCAUUUCUGUUGAGUGACGUUUUUGUUGUUGUGACGUUUUUUGUUGUUGGGACAUUUUUGUUGUUGGGACAUUUUUGUUGGGAUAUUUUUGUUGUGCCGUUUUUUGUUGUUGUUGGGACAUUUUUGUUGUUGGGACAUUUUUGUUGUUGGGAUAUUUUUGUUGUUGGGACAUUUUUGUUGGGAUAUUUUUGUUGUGCCGUUUUUUGUUGUUGUUGGGACAUUUUUGUUGUUGGGACAUUUUUGUUGUUGGGAUAUUUUUGUUGUGCCAUUUUUGUUGUUGUGCCAUUUUUGGGUUAGGGUUGGGGGGGGCUAUUGUGUAGCAUACGGGCGAGGAUACGGGCGAGGAUACGGGUGUAGCAUGCGGGUGUAGCAUGUGGGUGUAGCAUACGGGUGAGGAUACGGGUGUAGCAUGUGGGUGUAGCAUACGGGUGAGGAUACGGGUGUAGCAUGUGGGUGUAGCAUACGGGUGAGGAUCAAGUGAGGACACGGGCGUAGCACGGCACCAAACUUCCAUCUGAUGAUUCGCCACAAAACGUUCAACUUUUAUAACUCGGUUCCACCAAUUCAGAUCUUGAUCAUAAUUGGUAGAAAUGACGAUGAUGACACCCUGAAGUGCAGAAUGGGUCAGUAUCUAUUGGUACCCAUUCAUGGGGGGCGGAGCCUGGCGGCGAAAACUGCUCCCUCAUGACUGGACUUUAGAUGGUCCUUCCAAAGUGUUUUAGGUGUGAUCAUGACUGGACUUUAGAUGGUCCUUCCAAAGUGUUUUAGGUGUGAUCAUGACUGGACCUGGACAAGAUGGCCCCCUUGUGGUGGUCGAUUGUAAAAGUGCUAACUUCCUUCUGCAUGCGCCCACAUUUUGCUCCUUUUGUUGCACAUGGAAUGAUUUUUGCUGACUUUGCAGGGUUGAGGUCUGGGUCUGAGGUGAGAGGACCGCCGUGACCGCGGCGUGGCCAAGUUGAAGUGGGAGAGCACUAAUUACGACGCUCGCCGCCACAUGGCCGCCGUCCCAGCAGCCAGCGUGUGAGACGCAGCGGGCACAACACUGGGCCGUGCCUGGGCGCCAUGGCGUGUGGGAGACAAAGGAGGCAGGGCUUUGACUGCUCAGAUCAGCAGCCUUGCUCCUGAUGAUGUAAUUACUUCCCAGCAGCACCACUGGGAGGCCUCGCUGACGGCAGAUGUUCCUAAUUGCUCUCCAUUAGCAAGAAUAACAGAUGUUUGUAUCCAUCAGCCAAUAACUCAGCAGACAAUCACACCUGCUCGCCAUCACAGCCCCGCCCCCUUCCAAGAUGGAGAGUCACCUUCAGAUCUUAUUCAUAUUCCUCCAUCUCCUUUUGUGGCGCCCGCCCCACCCGACAACUCACCUCAAACCCAAAGGUGCCACCUCUCAAGGCCGGGGUGGCAGUUCAGCACUCCAGCAGCACUGAGAGCGGACAACGUUGCCAUGUUUAGUGGCAACAAAGCGACGGUCUCAGAAACACUCCAACGUAAAGUCAAGCAUUUUUCUCUAGCUUGAUGCUAAUACACAUUGAACAUGCUACCGAGUAGCAUUAGCGAUUCUACAUGGCGAUGUAGAAAGUCAAGCAUCUUUCUCUAGCUUUAUGCUAAUACACAUUGAACAUGCUACCGAGUAGCAUUAGCGAUCCUACAUGGCGAUGUAGAAAGUCAAGCAUUUUUCUCUAGCUUGAUGCUAAUACACAUUGAACAUGCUACUCAGUAGCAUUAGCGAUUCUACAUGGCGAUGUAGAAAGUCAAGCAUUUUUCUCUAGCUUGAUGCUAAUACACAUUGAACAUGCUACUCAGUAGCAUUAGCGAUUCUACAUGGCGAUGUAGAAAGUCAAGCAUUUUUCUCUAGCUUGAUGCUAAUACACAUUGAACAUGCUACUGAGUAGCAUUAGCGAUCCUACAUGGCGAUGUAGAAAGUCAAGCAUUUUUCUCUAGCUUGAUGCUAAUACACAUUGAACAUGCUACCGAGUAGCAUUAGCGAUUCUACAUGGCGAUUUGAACCCCUUUAAACUCCGACUACAACGCAGCACGUGACCAUCAGUGUGCUUUCCUCAAAUAUGUCAGGGGGACUGAUCUCCACUUUGGGGUUGAUUGAUGAGCCUUUUGUUUGCUUUCGUGUAUUGCGUCACCUUGUUGAGGUCAUUCAGUCCGUGACUUUGUAUCAAUAUUUCAUUUGUUUCACCUCACAGUCACGAUUCCCUUUGAUUCUUGGGGGUAACGAUUACAUUCACCAUUUUUUUUAAAUAAAAUUCUACUUAAACAUUUAAUAAAGUCAAAUACAAAUAAGGCAACUUUUCUAAAGUAAACCAGAUAUAAAUCAUCCACAUCUACUAUAUGAUUUGUCUAAGUGGCUGACAGGACAUAUUUAAAUAGUAAUAAUAAUAGUAAUAAUAAUACAAAAUAAAAUAAAAAUAGAUUUUAAAAAAAACAUCACAAUUCAUUAGAAUUUUUUAUUUUUCUUCAGGCUUCUAGUGUCUUCUAAGGCUGGGAGUCUUUGAGCGCCACAUGAUUCCAUUCUUGGGGGUAACGACUCCAUUCAAAACGAUUCUCCAUUCAAAAUCAAUACUUUUUCAAAUAAAAUAUGAUGGCAGUUCUAUGAUGGACUACAUCUAAUAAACUAACAGCUCUGAUCCAUUUCUAAAUGACUGCAAAUAAAACUGCUUUUGUUGAAUACAAUUCUAGCCAAACAUUUAAUAAAGUCAAAUACAAAAAAGUAUCCAACACUUCUCUCGUCUAAAGUAAAUGUGUA
Long non-coding RNA from Entelurus aequoreus (snake pipefish), 3745 nucleotides. RefSeq lists it as uncharacterized. The record is from RefSeq and is a predicted model, not a curated record. The transcript has 3 exons. Lineage: Eukaryota; Metazoa; Chordata; Actinopteri; Syngnathiformes; Syngnathidae.